GCCUUCGUGGUGUAGUGGUCAGCACGCUCGGCGCAUGUUCGAGAGGUCCGAGGUUCGAGUCCCGGCGAGGGUA
RNAcentral lists this transfer RNA (73 nucleotides) under Stegodyphus mimosarum. It matches the Rfam family "tRNA". Rfam says of the family: Transfer RNA (tRNA) molecules are approximately 80 nucleotides in length. Their secondary structure includes four short double-helical elements and three loops (D, anti-codon, and T loops). Lineage: Eukaryota; Metazoa; Arthropoda; Arachnida; Araneae; Eresidae. The record is from Rfam by way of RNAcentral.